RNAcentral lists this ribosomal RNA (497 nucleotides) under uncultured bacterium. RNAcentral describes it as "partial 16S ribosomal RNA". It matches the Rfam family "Bacterial small subunit ribosomal RNA", at positions 28 to 507 of the family's 1533-position model. The record is from RNAcentral.
GAUGAACGCUGGCGGCGUGCCUAAUACAUGCAAGUCGAGCGAACGGACGAGAAGCUUGCUUUUCUGAUGUUAGCGGCGGACGGGUGAGUAACACGUGGAUAACCUACCUAUAAGACUGGGAUAACUUCGGGAAACCGGAGCUAAUACCGGAUAAUAUUUUGAACCGCAUGGUUCAAAAGUGAAAGACGGUCUUGCUGUCACUUAUAGAUGGAUCCGCGCUGCAUUAGCUAGUUGGUAAGGUAACCGCUUACCAAGGCAACGAUGCAUAGCCGACCUGAGAGGGUGAUCGGCCACACUGGAACUGAGACACGGUCCAGACUCCUACGGGAGGCAGCAGUAGGGAAUCUUCCGCAAUGGGCGAAAGCCUGACGGAGCAACGCCGCGUGAGUGAUGAAGGUCUUCGGAUCGUAAAACUCUGUUAUUAGGGAAGAACAUAUGUGUAAGUAACUGUGCACAUCUUGACGGUACCUAAUCAGAAAGCCACGGCUAACUACGUG